RNAcentral lists this ribosomal RNA (557 nucleotides) under uncultured bacterium. RNAcentral's name for it is "bacterial SSU rRNA". It matches the Rfam family "Bacterial small subunit ribosomal RNA", at positions 364 to 917 of the family's 1533-position model. The record is from RNAcentral.
UUGGANUGGGCGCAGCCUGAUCCAGCAAUGCCGCGUGAGUGAAGAAGGCCUUCGGGUUGUAAAGCUCUUUUGUCAGGGAAGAAACGGUGGAGGCUAAUAUCCUCUGCUAAUGACGGUACCUGAAGAAUAAGCACCGGCUAACUACGUGCCAGCAGCCGCGGUAAUACGUAGGGUGCAAGCGUUAAUCGGAAUUACUGGGCGUAAAGCGUGCGCAGGCGGUUUUGUAAGACUGUCGUGAAAUCCCCGGGCUCAACCUGGGAAUGGCGAUGGUGACUGCAAGGCUAGAGUUUAGCAGAGGGGGGUAGAAUUCCACGUGUAGCAGUGAAAUGCGUAGAUAUGUGGAGGAACACCGAUGGCGAAGGCAGCCCCCUGGGUCAAAACUGACGCUCAUGCACGAAAGCGUGGGGAGCAAACAGGAUUAGAUACCCUGGUAGUCCACGCCCUAAACGAUGUCUACUAGUUGUCGGGUCUUAAUUGACUUGGUAACGCAGCUAACGCGUGAAGUAGACCGCCUGGGGAGUACGGUCGCAAGAUUAAAACUCAAAAAAAUUGACGGA